GGCGUCUCGGCCCAGCUCCCUUGAGAGGCAGGUUCUGGCUCUCGGUGCGGUAGCGCCAUCUGGCGCCGAGUGUUCCCUGGCCUGCGGAGGGGCGCGCUUCCUCCCUUCAGAACAUUCCAGAGACACGGCGGCGGCCGGGGCUCUGUCUCCCUUUUUCUGCAUCCUGCUUGUGCAUCAGAUGUGAGCUCUCAUCUACUGCUCUGGUGUCACACCUGCCUGCCUGCCACCAUGCUGCCUGCCAUGAUGAUCAUGGACUCACCCUCUGAAACUGUAAUAGCUAUCUUUAAAAGAUUCUGUCCUGGGGAUUGGAGAGAUGGCUCAGCAAUUGCAGAAGACCAGGGUUUGAUUCCCAGCACUACAUGGUGGCUCACAACCAUCUGUAAUUCUGAUUUCAGGAGGAUAUGGUAUCUUCUUCUGGCCUCUGUGGGCACUGAACACGUGGUUAUAAAAAUACAGGCAGGGUCUCCCUGUAAGAAAAGCAUUUUGUGCCAGGGUGAAGUGGUUGUGUGAAGGAGGGCCUAUUAAGUGCUUAUGAAUUAAGUAGAGGAGAAAGCAAGGAUUCUGGGAAAUUUGAUAAACUCUGUCACAUCUUGACUGUGGGCUGCUCAGCCGCUGUCUUGCUAUCAGAAGAUGCCAGCAAUGGAAAAAGUCAGGAACGUUAUCUCAGGGACAAAACCAGCUGACAUAGGGUAAUCUUUGUUGUCACCCUAAGGAUCUUUGGCUUUCUAAUAAGAGUGAGGUUCAGCAUCAUGGGCGUCCUUAUCCAGCUUUGGAAUCACUCACGAGUUCAGGGUUUUGUUGCUGGUUUUUUUUUGUUUGUUUGUUUUAACUACCUUUUGAGUAAUUGUGACUAUCCUAGAGUUCUGAUCAAAAAGGAAUGGCUCUGUGUCAUAGCCUUGCAGAAUUCAAAACAAUAAAAUAUUACCUGC
Molecule: long non-coding RNA, 929 nt
Filed under: Mus caroli (Ryukyu mouse)
Lineage: Eukaryota; Metazoa; Chordata; Mammalia; Rodentia; Muridae
Description: lncRNA (MGP_CAROLIEiJ_G0013748.1)
Source: RNAcentral